ACGCUCGACACCUACGAGAGGCAGCAGUGAGGAAUAUUGGUCAAUGGGCGCUAGCCUGAACCAGCCAAGUAGCGUGAAGGAUGAAGGCUCUAUGGGUCGUAAACUUCUUUUANAUAAGAAUAAAGUGCAGUAUGUAUACUGUUUUGUAUGUAUUAUAUGAAUAAGGAUCGGCUAACUCCGUGCCAACAGCCGCGGUAAUCUGAGCGGGCUGGCAAGGC
Molecule: ribosomal RNA, 218 nt
Filed under: uncultured bacterium
Lineage: Bacteria
Description: partial 16S ribosomal RNA
Rfam family: Bacterial small subunit ribosomal RNA
Source: RNAcentral